GUGUUUUAGCAUGUGCGUUGAUUAGCGAUUGUGGCAUUUCAGUCGAAAGUAAUUGUCAUUUUUCAUGCAUGAUCCAUUGCCCUCUAUAGGAUAGACCAGGGAUCAUAUAGUUGUUCCUCCAGCCGGAAUUUCUGGAAUUCUGUACUCAUGCUGCUUAUGUAACAGAGCCGCUCCCCACCAAACAUACAAAUAGGGUGCUAGCGGAGGAUCUGAGGGCCAACGGUUUCAGAGGAGCAGCUACCGAAUGAAAAAAAAAAAAAAAACAUCUACACUAUGGGAAUCACCAGGGGAUGACUGUGGUGUCCAAACCAACAACCGGUUUCCUGUGGUAUCAGAGGAUUUCAUGCAUCAUAAAUCAAGGACGAGACGAGGAUGCCAUCCUGAGGAGGUGCUGGCACACACUGAGAAGACUGAACUGAUAUAAGCAGUGAGCAAUCUGUUCUGCAUGCUAGUGCUGUUUUUCCUGUGACUUCAACAAUUUAGCUUUAGGCUAAAGUUAACUCAAAGUGUAACUCCGAACAUUGUGAGUCCUUGUCAGUGCUGUCCUAGCCCACGUCUCUUCGUGUGCCGGCCUAGACACGUAGACUCACACCUGUUUCUUUAUCAAGAUUCAUGGGACGAUUCACUGACUGCGUCCGAAAGCUGAGAAAUGCUGCCUUCACAGAUGGUACAUGGUGGUAGAUAGGGAAGUAUUACAUGCUGUCUACUAAGAUCACUUUGUGGUGAUGGUUUCUUAAGGCAGUAUAGAUCGUUCACUGACUAUGAUAUUCCAUACAGUGUGCAGUUUAAAAUAAAUACAAUUUAAUCUAGAGUUUUAUGUAAAAAAUUUCAGAUUUAGCAAUUUCUAGUC
Long non-coding RNA from Puntigrus tetrazona (Sumatra barb), 850 nucleotides. RefSeq lists it as uncharacterized. Lineage: Eukaryota; Metazoa; Chordata; Actinopteri; Cypriniformes; Cyprinidae. The transcript has 4 exons. The record is from RefSeq and is a predicted model, not a curated record.